UGUCUUUAUUUGAAAUAAUUUAGCGUUUUUAUUGAAAAUAACUGCUUAAUAUCGAUAGAUUAGUCGUUCGUCUACCUGCUGCAACCGUUUUUCUUUUUUUAUACACGAUUAAACUAUAGUUAACACGAUUUUGCUGCAUGUCGUCCCCAGCGACGGAUUAUUAUGCUUUUGUCAUUUUUCCUAGUCUAGUCCUCAUAUCACGGAACACACUGACGCCAAAUAUCAAUUGAUUAAUGCAUUCUGCGUCUAAAUACAUCUACUUCUCUUCAUAUAUCCGCUGUUUUAUUACAGGAUUGCCCCUUACUUCACGUUUUCUGAAGGAGCACAGAAUCCACGGCUACAUGCGCACACUAAGCAAUGCUAUAUUGUCCCUAAAUACGUUACCAAGACCAUUUCAGAAAUUGAACUCAUUUAAUUUGACUAAUGAACUACCUCACGCGACACACCUCCUGGCCGAAGCAUUUCUUCGCAUUUCAAUGUAAAGCUCACAAGAGUGUUUUUUAAUCCAGCCUUAAUAUAACACUAAAGUAGUAGGCAUUAUGGUAUAUUCCAGAAAUCAGUUUCACCUCCUUUCCCCAAUUUUUUUCAUCACUCCACUCUCACACUUAACGGCAUGACACAUCUCCCAUCCACUUACCGAUGAUUCUUUCCAAUCUUAGAAAUUUUACUCCCCCACUGAGUCUAAAUAUAUUUAUGUUGUCUAUAACUAGAAAGCAUGCCCUGCCCUAGAAAUGAAUUUCAUGUCAUUUGUUCAAUUCUUUAUUUCCAGAAAUUACAUGGUUUGUCCUACAUUCCAUCCAAGCUGUCAGCAGAAAUUAUUGCAUGUUUUAAAAAUAUUUCUUCACUGCUCAGACUAAACAUAUAUAGAGCCUACAACUAGAAAUCAAGCUGUGCUCUAGAAAUGCAUUUAAUGCCAUUUGGUAAAUUUCUUAUGUGCAGAAAUGACACGUUUGAUCCUGCACUCCACCUCCCAAGUUGUCAUCGGAAUGUUUUGCGUACGUUAAAAAUAUUCCUCCCGCACUCAGACUAACCAUAUUUAUAUAAUAUAGCGUACAACUAAUCAUCAUGCCUUCCCCUAGAAAUGAAUUUCAUUUCAUUCACUUCAUUUUUUAUUCACAUAAUGACCACAUUUUGAAAACACUGCGCACAUCUGCAGAAGUUUGCGAAGUUUCUUUCCAUUUCUCCCCACUGAUAUUCAAUAGUCAAUUCAAUCAAAUUCCAUAUCCUUAUUAUAAGCAGACAUUCUGAAGCAUUCUAGGAGCAAAUUUCAUGUCAUAUGUUCAUUGCUUUACCACUCAACUUGCACAUUCCAGGGCACGACCUCCGAACCACCUGUUGAUAUUUCUUUCCAAAUUUAAAAAUAUUUUGACCUCACACACAUUCAAGGUAAGUUCAUAAUCUAUAAAUAGACAUUCUGAUGCAUUCCAGAGAUCAAUUUCACCUUAUUUCCCAAUUCCUUUCGUCACUCACCCCACAAAUUUCGCUGCAUGGCUCAUUUCCUUGAAAUGUUAAAAAUAUCUCUACCUCACUCAGGCUCAAGAUAAGUUCACGUUUUGAUAAGUAGAAACCCUGAUGCAAUCCAGAAAUGAAUUUCAUCUUACUCACUCCAUUUUUUGUUCACAUAAUGGACACAUUUUGGAAAUACUGCUCCUGUCCUAAGCAGUCUUACAUGCGAAAUUUCUACUAAAAAUAUUUCAACCCCACUCAGGCCAAGGGCGUGUCAUCUCUCCGAACCACUUGCCGAUGUUUCUUUCCAAUGUUCAAAAUAUUUUUACCUCACACACAUUCAAGGUAACAAUCGCAAUAUCGCACUUGCUGCAGUGCCAACACAGAGCACAGUGUCAUAUGGACCGUUUAAUAGCCAAUACACAGGCUGAGUGAGCUUACUUUCUUUUCUUCUCAGUAUUUCAACUGUGCAAAAUAAAUUAUCGUUUCAAUGUCACUUAUGGUCACUUCAGCGUCUCAUUUGUGCUCGUAUUUAUUUUUCCACCUCAAAAUCUUUCUGGCACUUACAGUCAAACUCCUUCACAACGAAACUCAGGGGACAGCAAAAAGAAUUCGCAGUAAAGGUAUUUUCGUUAAAAAGGAUGUCCAUUAUUGGACCUAUAGGGCUCCAGUGGGACUGCAAAAAAAAUUGCAGUAGUGGUAUUUUCGUUAAAAAGGUGUCCGCUAUAAAGGAGUUUGACUGUAUAUAAUUUACGAUUUCUUCAAUUCCUUCACACGUUUUCCGCUAUACCUCAGAAAAUUGUCAGCGUAGCGUAACUUGCUGUAUUCUGGAAUGCUGCGAUUUCUUGCGGCAUAUUUUUAAAAAUCUAUUUUAGCGGAGUUUUGAGCCCUACUACCUGCACAUGAUCAUUUUUCGUUUGUUUCAACUUUCCUUUUCCCUGUGGCUCAAGAGGCCUAUGUGGUUUGGUUGUGGGUGCCCAUCAGCUACCCCUUUUAAGGUACCUUAUUUUCAGGGUAAAGCGCCUUGCAAGCGGUGCUGGUUGUAUUGACCUGUCGUAGACUAUGGCUUCAUGAAUUUAUGAAUUUGUAAGAACAAUAAUUGUUGGCUUCAUUCUUUGUAUUGCUUGCUUCUUCCACUUCGAAACUUAAAUUUCUACUUUCUAUCACGCUUGGGCGGGCGCCCAGGUGCCCCUGCUUUAGGGCCUCGUGUCACCCAAAGCCCGUCCUAAUCAUAUACUAAGUCCACGUUAUCGGGAAGUGAGGUGGGGUUCUGGACAUGAUUGAUUUCCGGGGCCGCGAUUUCUCUCGCUGAGCCUGCAUGUAGCAGACCGGUCACAAUCUUUUAUAUUGAACUACAGUAGGACAGCUGAAGUAACGGCUGUUGCAGGGGUCUGAGCCUUGUGAUGGCCGUCCGAGAAAGUGAUGAAAACCCAGCUGCGCCCCUGCUAUCGUCAACUGCAGGUCGAAGCGUCCAUGGGUCCCGGACAUGCUUUCUGAAGCCAACAACAAUUCAGCAAUUUUCAUCUUCUUACUAACUCCUUGUCUUCAUUGUUGUCCAUUGCAGCGUCUCUGCCACUGACAAUGUGCUGUACAAUUCAGGGAAUAGUGAAUAAAUUUUGUGGAUUUCAGGGCCUA
Molecule: long non-coding RNA, 3081 nt
Organism: Ornithodoros turicata
Lineage: Eukaryota; Metazoa; Arthropoda; Arachnida; Ixodida; Argasidae
Exons: 3
Source: RefSeq, a predicted model, not a curated record